UGAGCUGGAGCGAAGCAUCAAUGAUCUCAGAUCUGAGAUGGGGGUAGCGCCUGACUUGGGUUCUUCUUUCUCCUUGGGAGGAGCUGAAGGAGAUGGAGAGCCCUCUACCCCCAUCUCAGAUCUGAGAUCGUUGACGCUUUGCUCCAACUCAUCUAUCCGGCUGCCCAUUUCAUCGAUCUUUGUAAUGAUGGAAUCCGACAUUGCCUGGAACCUGGAUUGCAUUUGCUGAAAGUAGAUUUUGCACAAAAGCUGUCAUAUCAGCAGUGCUCUGCUUUGGAUCUUCAGCAUGCCCAUCCAUUUCUGGAGUUCUGGCCUGGUAAGUUGGUUUGGAAUUUGGCUAGUUGGAUUUUGCGGCUGGAAGCAGAGACAAGCAGAGGGAAUUUCUGGAGAGAAAUGC
Molecule: unclassified non-coding RNA, 397 nt
Filed under: Hevea brasiliensis (rubber tree)
Lineage: Eukaryota; Viridiplantae; Streptophyta; Magnoliopsida; Malpighiales; Euphorbiaceae
Source: RNAcentral